CAUGCAAGUGCAAGGUGGAGACAUUUGCUUUUUCAAAGUAAGCACGUAAGAAACUGUGGUGCCACUACCCUUUCGCCAAUUCACUCCCGCUUGUGUCCCUGGGUGGUGGAAGAACCUGAGUCGAGACACAUUUUAGUUCUUUGUCUUCUUGAACACCAGCUACACCAUGUGAUGAAGUAAACAGCAAGCUGAAGUCGGGUGUGAUCAAUGACUGAGGUCAGGAAUCAGGAAAGCUGCCACCAAGAGAAAGCAAAUGACCAGAAAGGAAGAGAAUUACCUACAGAAAGUGACAACCGUAAAAUAGAUCUCCUCUGGGACGUGAGCCUUCACUGCGGCCUCAGCUCCUGCCCUCCUGUAGGAGGAUUUGCCCCAACUGAACCACGGUGCUCCCCCGACCUGGGAGAAAUGAAUGCAUAAGCCAGGAUUGGGUUUUUCCUUUGGAAAUUUGAACUCAGAGAUGCAAGUGUGGAUGAAUUGACAUCAUCAUGGCCUCAGAGUAAAGGACUGAAAAUUGCCCCUGCUGUAUUCGAAGCUUCAGGUACUUUCCAACAUGUGCAGGUGGCUCUGGUCAUGGAAUGUAUUACUGAGCCCACUUCUCCCUCUCUCUCUCUGUCCAAGUCCUACUCCCGAA
Molecule: long non-coding RNA, 631 nt
Filed under: Fukomys damarensis (Damara mole-rat)
Lineage: Eukaryota; Metazoa; Chordata; Mammalia; Rodentia; Bathyergidae
Description: lncRNA (ENSFDAG00000030273.1)
Source: RNAcentral